GCCUUGGAGUCUGCAUUGGGGACGCAGUGCCAGUGUGUGCCAUCCUGGGAGUGCAUGGGAGUGGGCCUGUUCUGCACGCAAGCGCAGAAGUGCCGUGGUCGGGCAGCUCCCGGGCUGUGUGUGCUCCUCUGCUCCCCGCGCUGGGGCGGCUGAGUCUCUGUGGUUGAUGGGCCAUGAGAGAAGUGCUUUUUUCUUGUUUAGCUAAAUAACUGGAUCUCCGCCAAUUUCCAGCUUUGGGCUGUUUUUGCUCUCUGAAUGCUGCUGCUGCUUGAAGGACUCUAUGAUUACUUCUGGGGUCGUGCCUCCUCUUGGCCAUUGAACGGAAUCACGAGGAACUGUGAUAUCAAAUAGCUGGGUGUGGAGCAAGCCGAGUGUCCCUGAGAUGGAGCCUAAGGGAAGUGCACCCGUAAAACCUCCUCAGUCUGUGGUCCCCACCCCGUGGCUGUCUCCAGUGAGUCUGCGUGGGAGGGCCUGCGCUUUGUGCUUGUGCGGUUGUCUGUCUUUGCUCACUUGCGUUGGUGAAAGGAAGAGAAGCACUUGCAUUUGCAGUUAAAUCAUGACUGUGCACUUUGGGCACCAUGGAAACAGCACAAGCCAAUUGGCCCUGCUCUCCAAGACCCUGUCUUCUAGCACAGGACAGAAGAUCAGCUCUUCACGGCCAAGGAGCGAGUCUGAUAGCAGUCCACGCCCAGAAGAGAAGCUGAGUACGAAGACAGCGGAAAGGGAGGUGGAAGGCCUGGGCUUGUCUUCUGUGUCCUUCACUUUAAGGCUGAGAUUGAAGGCAAUCUAGAACAGUCAAUGCACAGGCAGGAGGUAUGCAGGGGACCAGAAAGACAGGUGAGAGCCGCAAGGGCCGUGCGGUGGGAUGGCUUUCAAGAGUCUGUCAAAGGAAAUAGGUACCCCAUUUAAAAAGGAAAGACAGGAGACAUGCUCAGGGCCGUGGUUGAGCUGAUAUGGAGCUCAGGUUUGGAGUAGCAAAAGUUCCAGAUGGCAAUGGACCUCAUAUUUACGUUUCGAGGACCCAGUCUUUAAGGUGGCGGGAAGACCGGCCCUCCAGGUGGGCUGCGGGGAGCUGUGACCCCUCUCUGGGCAUCAGCAGAGUGGUGAGAGACAGCCCUCCAGGUCUUGACUCGGGCUUGAUAUGAGGUGAACUGCAGGACUCGGGUCCCUGACUUCAUUCCCGGCCAUGAACUUCCUCUGCUCCACCACCUGCUCCUGCCACGACGUGCUGCCUGGCCCUGAGCGAGGCCCAGAGCCACGCGGCCAGUCGGCGAUGGAUGAAACCUUCAAGAUCGUGAGCCCCACGGACCUUCUGUAGGAGCCGGUUUUCCUGGGGUACUCGUUCCAGCCACAGACGCAGACUGAUGCAGGGAGCUGCUCACCAGCGCACCCCGUGGGGCUGGGGAUGGAGGGAGGCUGUGGGCAAGGACCCGGACCCAGACUUCUGCAGGGUGGUGUGGCGGCUAGUGCGAGCUCUGCAGGUCCUGGGGAAGGCCCAGCGGCUGUCUGGGAGGGCACUGCUGCUCCUGGGCGGAGGAGACGCACUGUGGGGCGUCACUCAGAGCAGUAGGGAGCCGGAGGGAGGCCCAGAGACCAGUCCUAGGGGAGACCAAGUCCCUCUGCCCCCACCCUCACCCAGCAGAGCUGCGCGAGUCACUGGCCAAGCCAGGCAGAGCAUGGGACAGGCUCAGCGCUGGGACACUGGCCCAGUGUGCUCGGACAGCAGAGGGCCAGCCGUGGCAGGAAGUGAGAAGUACCCAACCAGUACUUUCCUUUUAGUUUUCUUCUUUUUGUUUUUUUAAGAAGAAUAACAAGAUUUGAUGAUAGACCACCCAGAGGUCAGGCUGCCUUCCUGGGACCAGGAGGCUAAGGUGACCUGAAGAGUAAGGCCUCUUUUUCCCCAUCGGAGCUGGGAAGCCUCGCACACGGCACAGCGGCCCCCUCUUGUGGACACCGGCAUGGCCUGCA
Molecule: non-coding RNA, 1968 nt
Organism: Ictidomys tridecemlineatus (thirteen-lined ground squirrel)
Lineage: Eukaryota; Metazoa; Chordata; Mammalia; Rodentia; Sciuridae
Source: RefSeq, a predicted model, not a curated record